CGCGGAGUGGAGCAGUUGGCAGCUCGUCGGGCUCAUAACCCGAAGGUCGCAGGUUCAAAUCCUGCCUCCGCAA
Transfer RNA from Thermotalea metallivorans, 73 nucleotides. It matches the Rfam family "tRNA". Rfam says of the family: Transfer RNA (tRNA) molecules are approximately 80 nucleotides in length. Their secondary structure includes four short double-helical elements and three loops (D, anti-codon, and T loops). The record is from Rfam. Lineage: Bacteria; Bacillati; Bacillota; Clostridia; Peptostreptococcales; Thermotaleaceae.